RNAcentral lists this long non-coding RNA (4414 nucleotides) under Daucus carota (carrot). RNAcentral's name for it is "long non-coding RNA (DCAR_LNC004802)". The record is from RNAcentral. Lineage: Eukaryota; Viridiplantae; Streptophyta; Magnoliopsida; Apiales; Apiaceae.
AUCCUAGUGAUAACAUAAAGCAUUAUUUAUAAUCACUCCUAUCAUCUUACCCUUAAAUCAAUUUGCUUUUUCAUUCUAAUGAUAAUCCAUCUGCAGUUAUCCAAAAAUGUCCAAGGAGGCCUGUAUACAGUGGAGGUGUUGCUGAAUAAACUCCAAAGUCUACUUUGUGUGAUGUUUGUAAGUUUGUUUGCUGCAUUCAUUUACCCAGAUUCCUUCUCUUGCAAUUAUGCAACUCAGUAUUGAAUACAAUUUGCUCAGUUAAUUCCGCUGGUGCAUCUUCUACCAAUGCUGAAAAGACACACACAAAGAAGUCUUUUCAAUAUGCCCCACAAAUUCUUAAUUUUGAGGACCCUGCAGUGCAUCCAGAGCAUCUACAAAACUUGGAGGAAGCUGGUAUGCACCUAUAUUCUAUGCUUUCUUUUUUAUAGCUUCAGACAUGGCUAUAUAAGAUUAUAAAUUCUAAUAUCGUAGAAUAUGCCCGUGUUGGUGGUGUCGAAGAGGACAGAUCUGAUUUUUAUGAGCAUGAUGGUAACUUAUCUUCCUGUUUUUGUUUCAAUAGUACUUUCACCCAAAUAUAUUUGCCACAAAUAUACUACGUGUAAACAGACUAUGCAGAAGAGUUUGAUGGUGAAGAUUGUUGGUAUGAGGAAAGAAUGAAAAGAUUCAUGGUUAAAUCCUCCAACAAUAUUCUUCCCAUUACUAAAAACAAAGGUCUGAUAACCGGGAAUCAACCGACAUGCUUUCUUGAAUGUACGAGGAGCCUCCUAAAAAUUAAAUUAACAUAAAUACAGUGCUGUGUGAAUCAUACAAACCAAAGAGAAACCAACAAAAAUAUACAUAUUGGAAACCCUAACUUACCAACUCAUCAGAUAUGGGAUUGGACUCCUUCACAAAAUUCACAAACUUUAGACCCCCAUUCUUAAGAGAUACUAAAAAAACAAAAAUGAAAAACAAUUACACUUUAUUACGUGGCACUUGCUAGAGAAAUCAUAAUCGAGAUGUCAUGAGAAUUUUACCAACUUUGGGAUGGCUAUUCUGCAUGUAGUGAACAACAUUAGGGUAUUCAAUCUCUGUCAAAUCUAGCCCAAUAAUGUACACAUUGAAGUCAAAGAUGCCAUUGACCUCAAAAAUGAGCAUUUCACCCCCUUCCAACUCAAAGUCGUCAUACAUAGUUGAAAGCCCGUAAAAGGUCCCUUCCUCAGCUAAGAACUGAACAACAAUCUCAUACCCAUUGUGGAAUUUGAAAAGCAAACUGGGUGCAAACCGGUUACCGUAGGUUCUGAUUAUCUCCCGCGGAACAUUCUGUUUAAAAAACUCAAGUCAAAAACGGAACAAAUCCUAACUCAGAUUUAGUUAAUGCACAAAAUACUCAAAAGCUCAUCUGAAUUGGUCUCCGCAGCUGUGAGGAACUUCACGAAUUUCGGAAGAACUAGACCAUAGGAUUCCAUACCUAAAAUUUUCAGAAAAAAAUAGAAUCCUAUCACAAUACAUGCAAGUACAUUUAUGAAACAGCAUUACAAAAUAGGGAUUCGAAACACAUGUAGGAACAAUCGGACCUUGACCUGCGUUUUAUGAUACUAAUUAAAAGUUCGAAAAGAAUAUAAACCUUAAUCGUUACGGCGCAAGCGAUUCAAAUCCACGUCUUCUACUGUAUUCCCUGGUUCUCCUUGGACGAAGUGUGGCCUUCGAUCUCCCAAGGUGUGCCUCUCCUUAAAGCUCCGAAAACCCAAAACCCAAGCUGGCUCCUUGAGAAAAACGACUGCCUCUCUCAAACCCUAGGAUGUGAAUUCGUUUUUUGUGUGUCUUUCAGCUUUAGGAGAACGAGAAUAUAUAUAGGAUACAGUAGGGAUCAUGGACCAUUAGGUCAGGCCUUCCAAUGACAUUCAGGGCCACGAGGAGAACGAGAAUAUAUAUAGGAUACAGUAGGGAUCAUGGACCAUUAGGUCAGGCCUUCCAAUGACAUUCAGGGCCACGCUCAAUGUCAUUAAAUAUUAAUUCAAUCCACUAAAGAAUUAAUAUUUGCACUACCUUUCCUAAUUCCGUAAAUUAAUUACUCCCUCCGUCCCAUUUUAAUUGACACUUAUUCCUUUUUGGGACGUCCCAAAAAGAAUGAACCUAUUAAACUUACUAUUUUUGAACACCACUUUUCAUUAUUACACCCACUACUUUCUUCCACUAUCUCUAUUUAAUAAUAAUAUAAACACUAUUACACCCACUACUUUCCUCCUCUAUCUCACAUCAAUUAUUAAAAUUUUGAUGGGUCCCACCACUUUACCAACUUUUCAACUAAUUUAAUUUCUUUUACUAUUUUUUCUUAAUCUCCGUGAAAGUCAAAGCAGUUCAAUCUUUUCGGGACGGAGGGAGUAUUUAAUUCGGCUCACAUAUUAAUUGCUUAUAAAUUCCCCAUGUUUAAGAUAUCGGAUGUCUAAUAAUUAAAUUAAUUUCUGACAAUUAAUUUAAUCAAUAUCUUUUAUCCUUGAUCAUCCACUCAACCUUAUAAUUAUGCAAGAACAAAUUUGCAUGCAGGACUAAAGCAUAAUUAUCUUUAUGAGCUUUCAAGAGGACAUCAUCACCCGAAUAUAUUUUUCGGACAUGGUUUCCUUUUAUAGUUAAUAUCCCACUCUGUAUAUAAUGUCAUUGCCCAAUACAUAAAUUCGUAAUUUAAAAUAAUUACUUAACUUAUGAGUCAAGGCAUGUGCAUUAAAUACAAGUGUCAAUCACUAUAUUCGGAUCAAGAACCUAAGCAAUAAUAACAUCGUAGAAUCUUAGUUCUUUAUUGUCAGAAUUAAAGAAACAAUUAUUUUACUAUUUUGAUCCCGUUCAAUAUAUACAAAGUAUACAAGUAUUAUUCAAUAGUCAAGAUAAACUAUUUCUAAAUAAUACUUCAGCGGUUCCAGUGGUUUGUCUAACACCACCUCGACUGUGAACCUUUAUUAUAUUAUAUAAGAAAUUCGACAAUCUAACCUUCUGCUAUCCCAUUUGAUACUAGAUUGUCUACAAUAUAUAAUAUACAGACAAUGUGAAAACAUGCAUUCAAGAUUCUCAAAUAAUUGUUAUAUACUUCAAACGAAUAUUUCAGUAUAACCCUAACAACACAUACCUAUGAAUGACUGAAAUGUACAAGGAAGAGGAUGAGAGAAUUAAGAGAGAGAGUGCAAGAGAUGAUUUUCAAAACGGGACUGUUACCACUCGAACACUUAAAUUCGCAUACCUGUAAUUAGGUUGUAAGUAGAGUAAAUGGGGCUAAUUAAUGUAAUACUGACCUCUUUUACAAAAAUAUAUUUUAUUCAUGUUCCGUUUUUGUUUUGAAACAUUUAAAAUUUAAAAAAUGCAACUUAUAAGCAAAAAAUUGAAUAUUAUUCAUGUCCUGUUUUAUAUUCUUAUAAAACAAUACCUCUUUAAUUUAAUAUAAACUCAAUCAUUAAAAAAUUUAACAUGGACAAAUGCAACUUCAAAUAAACAAACAGCAUACAUCUAAUGAACAAUAAUUUUAUGACUCAAAAAUUGCAUUUUUUAAUGCCAUGUUUUUUGUAUUUUGGGAGGGGAAAAAAGGAACAAUAAUUUUAUGUCACCUUCAUCACAAAUAAAAGAUUUAACAAUAAUUUUAUGUCUUCAAACAUUUUAUUAUAAAAAAAUAAAAAAUUCCAAGCGUAGCGGGUAAGAAUACUAGUAGCAGACCAUGUCCUCAUAAUAGCUUCCGUAUUUACAACAUAUGCCAUUGCUUUUAUAAAGUAUAUACGGUUCCAUUUGUUUUUGCUAAAAUCUGGAGGUUCCAUUUCCCCCGGUUUAUAUCACACGAUGGUUUGUGAAGCAUGGUUUGUACUACUGCUUUGUCUGGAUUCUUUUUCUAUAUUUAUAAUUUAUUAAAUAUAAAAUUUAUCUCUAUAAUAAUGAAUAUUAUAUAUUAAUUUUAAAGUAAAUUUGUACAAUAUUAAAAUAAAAUAUCAUAAAUUAUUUUUUGAAGUGGUCUUUUUAAAUAAAAUCAAAUCUCAAAAAUAAAAAAUUACUCAAAAAAUUAUGAUUUUUGUCUUAUAAAUCAGAAGUUAACUCACAAAUUUUCUAUAUAAACACUAUAAAUAAGCUACUUCUCACUUAUAUCUACUCGUAAAAUUAUUAAUAUUUGAGUAGUUUUAUAUCGAAUAUCAAAUAGUUUUUUUCUAAAAUCAUAUUAUAUCCGAAGUUGAAAGAUAAUAUUCAAUUUAAAUACAAAAUGUUAAUAUGUUAUUAAUUUUAAGUGUUUACAUAUCAUCAUUUUUUUAUUUUAUAAUGAAUGAAUUUUAAAAGUUCUAUUAAAUAAAACUCAAAGAAAGCAUAUAAAAAUAUUGUUCUAAUACGCCCGCAAGGGUUAAAAGAGGGGACUUGUAUCUUCUUAGUCACGGGUUCGACUCCCGAAGGAAGCAGAAUUUGUGAUUAU